RNAcentral lists this ribosomal RNA (253 nucleotides) under uncultured bacterium. Its description in RNAcentral is "partial 16S ribosomal RNA". It matches the Rfam family "Bacterial small subunit ribosomal RNA", at positions 524 to 776 of the family's 1533-position model. The record is from RNAcentral.
UACGAAGGGGGCUAGCGUUGCUCGGAAUCACUGGGCGUAAAGCGCACGUAGGCGGCUUGCUAAGUCAGGGGUGAAAUCCUGGAGCUCAACUCCAGAACUGCCUUUGAUACUGGCGACCUUGAGUCCGGGAGAGGUGAGUGGAACUGCGAGUGUAGAGGUGAAAUUCGUAGAUAUUCGCAAGAACACCAGUGGUGAAGGCGGCUCACUGGCCCGGUACUGACGCUGAGGUGCGAAAGCGUGGGGAGCAAACAGG